Molecule: ribosomal RNA, 380 nt
Filed under: Chaetoceros curvisetus
Lineage: Eukaryota; Bacillariophyta; Thalassiosirophyceae; Chaetocerotales; Chaetocerotaceae
Description: partial Bacterial large subunit ribosomal RNA
Rfam family: Bacterial large subunit ribosomal RNA
Source: RNAcentral
UGGUGGAUGCCUUGGCGAUCACAGGCGAUGAAGGACGCGGUAGCCUGCGAAAAGCGGAGGGGAGCUGGCAAACGAGCUUUGAUCCUCCGAUAUCCGAAUGGGGAAACCCACCUCUUUUGAGGUAUCCGUAACUGAAUACAUAGGUUACGUGAAGCGAACGCGGUGAACUGAAACAUCUAAGUAACCGCAGGAAAAGAAAUCAACCGAGAUUCCCAGAGUAGUGGCGAGCGAAAUGGGACCAGCCUGUACUCUUUAUCUUCAUUGUUAGUCGAAGGCUCUGGAAAGUGCCGCCAUAGCAGGUGAUAGCCCUGUAGACGAAAACAGCGGGGAAGAACUAGGUGUACGGAAAGUAGGGCGGGACACGUGAAAUCCUGUCUGAA